CAGGAUGAACUCGGCCUCAAGAAAAAUGACGGCCGAGCCACGCAUUCGGUGACUGAGCACUCAGACACAGCUUGGCAGGUGUCUGCUUCAGACAGGCCAGCGACCAGAGGACAUUCCUGUAAAGAACUGUUUUAAACAAGAAUCUGUGCCCAAACGAAGCAAAGGACCAGGGCCCAGCAGAGGUGAAAAGCCAGCUUUCCAAGCAUCCUGGGAGCAUUCCAGCGGGUCGUUCAUUCCGAGAGCGCCCCCUGGGCGCCCUGCAGCCUUUGGCUGGGCCUCUUCUCAGCUCCUGGGGCUGAACAGUGACAGCAACGCUGCAUAUGGACUAAACCAGCAGUCGCUGGGUCCCCACGUCUGUGCUGUGGAAACGACCUUCUCGUGGCAUCAUCAAAAAGCACUUUAGUAGAUAGGUGGCGUUACCGACAAAGGCAGACUCUAUCGUGCUUCAUCCAAGCCGACGCCUGUGACCCUCCGGCUUGGAUGAUGUAGGCUUCCCCUCAACAGGAAAGUUACGUGUUGUAAGUCGUGAAGUCCAGGCUUGAGCCCGAGGCCUUCGCCUCACAAUCAGCAUGACCCCGCUGUGAUCAGUGCCCACGCUUAUCAUUCCAGAGCCAAGUCUGGAGUGGGCCACACGUGUCUGUGCAAACUUAGCACGGACUUCGGUGAAUGUUCCAGGAACUGAGAGAGUCCGUGAAAUAGUGAACGGGACAGAGUCUGUGAGUCUGCAUGCCAUGACCCCGACAGCCACUGCGUGUUGACUUGCAGAGUUAACACGCUCGGCUUCUGACUGCCGUUUCCUGCCCCCAUCCCCCCCACCGACUCCAAGCACACUCCACAGGAGUCUGUGGACCUGAGCGCAGAAGCCAGGCCGAAGAGUGUUCACGGCCCUGCUGUGUGAGAGCAAGAGCCCGGACGAAGCUGAGCGUCCAUCCCGGCGGAAACACGCGUGCGCCUGCAGGUUUGUUCACAGGGUGAAUGAAGUACUACGCGGCAGUGAAGGCGGACACAGGCGCGUGCUGUGACAGGCGUGACUUAGAAAUGCAAAGACAAGCAAACAAAGUGCGGGGCAAAAGGCUGCAGACGUGUGAUACUAGUUUUAUAAAGCUCACGAGCCUCGAGGGAUGCAUAUCGCUUUAAACAAACAAAUAUGCGCACGCACACAUACAAUCAUAUACACACGCGCGCGCGCGUAUAUACGAUCAGACCUUUGAAAAGACACGGGAACGUGAACGCACAAUUGAAGUUGUCGCCUCGGGGGCAGAGGCGGGAGGACGAACGAGCAUGGGAACCAUUGCUGGGACGCGCUCAGGUAGGCUCGCGCCUUCCGGGAGGGCUCAGCUCGCACCUUCCAGCUCUCAGGCUGGCUGUGGGUUCACUGGUGUCCUUGUGAUACUAUUUCACGACCUAUGUGCUGCCCGCAUUUUCUUCUACUUUGUGUCGAAUGUCUGCAUCUUGAAAAACACAAGCAGGUCCUUGAAGGCCAUCGUUCUGUACGCCGUGUGCCUGUUUCUGGGAGGCUCUUGGCGCCGUGGGUGACUCCAGAAAUGGUUCCCAUCGAGCCCCGUGAACUAGUCGGGGCGGUGUCCUCCCAAGUCAGCAGGAGGGUCCCCCAUGCGCACUCCCGCAGGAGGGGCCCGGCCUCUGCCAGGCUUGCGGCCCCGGGCGGCACGCACAGUGGGCGGAGGCCCUGCGGGAGGGGCCCCACAGCUUGUUUACGAGCCGCCCGGUGAAGCAGUCUGGGGGGCCCCCAGCAGCGCCCGCUCCACCAGAAGAGCCACCGCUCCCGGGAGCUCGCGUCCCCUCCUGCAGCCCAGACGCUCGAGCAGACGUGAAGAGCAGGGACCCCCUGCCUCUCGGGGCUUUGGCCUGGGGAUCCGCUAGCUGUAGGCCUUGGGCUUGGGAGACAAGGCUUGGCCCCGAGAGCUUUCAGACCCAUAGCAGAGCAAGACACCCAGAUAGGAGCGGCCCGCACAAACCCUCUUGGGCUUAGCGCACCAGCUCGGCACAAAGAGCUCCACUUGCCCAGUUAACCACAGGCCGGAGAGCGAAUUUUCAGAGGAGCCCGUGGAAAAGUGGGUGGGAGCGGGAGAGCCGCUGCUCAGGAGUGAACCCGCGGGCCCCUGUCCUAACGGUGAAAGACGAUUGGGCCAACGAGGGCCGUUCAGACUUAGGUUUGCUGGACAUUUUCUCAAAAAGGAAUCAAGUGACCCUGUCCCUUCAAGGAGAGCGACCAACAGUGUUUGUUACCAAUGAUAAAAAUUUGUUUUUGAAGAAAAAUGAGAAUUUUGGGGAGCUCGCAUCUGCCGCUGUGAGCUUUACGGCUUCUGAGUACUUAGAUUUUUCUGAUGAGACUGGUGGUGACGUAAACAGAUGUUACUUUCGCAAUACUAUGUAAAGAAAUGCGUCAGUAUUUGGAAGACGUGUGUAACACAGUGAGCCAGUACUUCCAGAUGACCGAUGCACGGUGUCACAGACCCGGCCAUGGGUCGGGGAGCCCUGCACAGUGCAGGAUGGAGGGACCGAGUUCAGUGAGAGGUUCGCUGCGUGGUUUCAGGUCCUGCGCGGCUGCUGAACUUGAACAACUCCGUUGUCCAGUUUGGAUGCAGGACCAGAGGAGAAUAUCUGCAGUUUACUGAAAAGGCUGUGAAAGUCCUCCCGUUUCAGCUACGAGUCCAUGUGAGGCCAGUUCCUCAGCCAAGAGGAGGAAUCACGGUGGUCUGAAGAAGACAGGAGAACCAGCUGUCUUCCUAAAUGCCCGGCACUGGGAGAUUUGCAUACGCAGAAAACAGUGCCACCCUUCUUAUUAAAUUUUUUUUUUUUUUUUUUGCUUUGGAAAAUAGAGAUUUUUUAAUUAUUUGUGAACUUAGGCAAGUAUAUAUAUAAUCGAGGUUUUGCUAUUUUUAAACAAUAAAUAAUUUUAAAUUUCUGUUUUAUUUCCUAGUUUGCUGUCAAUAGAUGUAACCCAGGUAUCUAUUGUUGUGGCCUCAGUAGCUUUUCCGAGGGUAAAGGUGAAGAGAGCUCACGUUCUGUAAGGGGCUAGGGGUUGGGAUGGCGCUGUGGAACAGCCCUGCUUCAGGAUUUCAUUCAGGAGGUACGUCCAAAAAAACGAUUCCGCCUGGGUAGGCGUGGGAGCUUAUUUCUCCAUUAAAAUGAAAUACCAGGAACACGUCCCAUUCCUGUGUCUACGUUUUGUGCUGUGACAUCCCCAAGCCACAUCCCAGAGCAGGGAUAAAAUCAAGUUAUUAUUAAGCUGCAUUAUUUUGAUGUUAGGUGGGUAGUUUACAAACCAGCUUUUAUCCUUUUGUGUUAAGACUAAAACACCACCACU
Molecule: long non-coding RNA, 3328 nt
Organism: Phocoena sinus (vaquita)
Lineage: Eukaryota; Metazoa; Chordata; Mammalia; Artiodactyla; Phocoenidae
Source: Ensembl